This 726-nucleotide long non-coding RNA is filed under the name Elaeis guineensis (African oil palm). RNAcentral's name for it is "long non-coding RNA (EGUI_LNC071451)". Lineage: Eukaryota; Viridiplantae; Streptophyta; Magnoliopsida; Arecales; Arecaceae. The record is from RNAcentral.
ACGUUAGUAAUUGAGAUUUAACUGAUGAUAGUUAGCUGCCAUUAAUGAGAUUUAUUAGACUUACUCCAGCCGGAGCACGAUCCGAAUCUGUCCUGAAUCUAAUUAGAUCGAUCCACGCCAGUUCUCUUUCGUCUCUAAAAUUUAAAAAUAAUAAUAAUAAUAAUCCUAACCCAUCCAUCCAGCCAUCUCCCUCUCCUUCCCCAACACCGCCGUCAAUGAACCAGUUUGUCGAGGAAGAGCAGGUCAACAGGAAUCUCACUGGAGAAGCGAUUCACCUGGAGGUGGACAAUAUGCAGCUCCUUGCAGCCGGCGAGGUUCAAUCGGAGGGGUCAGACAGGGCGUUGAAGUAGAGGCUAACUAUUUAGAGGGUGGUGAGGUUGUUGAAGAUUCUGGUGGGGAUCUAGCCCAUGAGAUGGAUGGCCAAGAGGCGGAUCUCGGUAACACGGUCAUUAUUGUAUUUCACGUCCACCCACGACCAAGGUGUCAUUGACGGAGGAGGAGGAGGAGACCAUCGCAGCCACCGCCACUGCUUGGAAGGUCACCGUCACCUAGUUGAAGACCGCCCACUAGAGAAGUGGCUCCCCUGGAGGGAGACAGUCCAGAGCUCCUUGCAGUCGGUGAAGUUUGGUGAGAGGGGAUCAGAGAGGGUGUUGAGGCAAAGGCUAACCACCUGGAGGGCAGUGAGGUUGCUGAGGGUUCCAGUGAUGACCUAGCCCUCGAGACAGA